UACGUAGGGGGCAAGCGUUGUCCGGAAUUAUUGGGCGUAAAGAGCGUGUAGGCGGUCCGGUAAGUCAGCUGUGAAAGUCAAGGGCUCAACCCUUGAAAGCCGGUUGAUACUGUCGGGCUAGAGUCCGGAAGAGGCGAGUGGAAUUCCUGGUGUAGCGGUGAAAUGCGCAGAUAUCAGGAAGAACACCCGUGGCGAAGGCGGUUCUCUGGGACGGUACUGACGCUGAGACGCGAAAGCGUGGGGAGCGAACAGG
This 253-nucleotide ribosomal RNA is filed under the name uncultured bacterium. RNAcentral describes it as "partial 16S ribosomal RNA". It matches the Rfam family "Bacterial small subunit ribosomal RNA", at positions 524 to 776 of the family's 1533-position model. The record is from RNAcentral.